Molecule: long non-coding RNA, 907 nt
Organism: Eriocheir sinensis (Chinese mitten crab)
Lineage: Eukaryota; Metazoa; Arthropoda; Malacostraca; Decapoda; Varunidae
Exons: 3
Source: RefSeq, a predicted model, not a curated record
GUCCAUAUUCAUAAACGUAUCAGUCUCCUAUUACGACUCUUUCCCAAGGCCACAGAGAAGAUUGAACGGGUUUUCACGGGUGCUUUUUCCCGUUCAAGAUGCAGGAGCCGUGUAAAACUAUCACCAGCAUCACAAAACAGUCCAUGUCAACCCCAGCAACUUCUACGACGAGAGGCCUUUCAAACAGAGGAAGUGAGGCGCUGAUAUGUUUAGAGAUAUAGGCAGAAAUCUUAACCCCUAUUUGAAUUUCGCGCCUCAAAUCACCAGCCGUUGCCCAUUCUCCCUUCCCCUCACGCGUGCACAGACAGACCCCGAUACCCAGGUGCCCACAAGCCCUACGGAGGCAAGGAGACCGGCCGGCUUGUGAUCUCGUAAGGUUAUUAAACAGAUAUUUAGAGUGUUUCAAGUAUUCGUAGUGACUUGUGAUGCAUCCGUACGUGUACCUAAGAUGCUGGUGUGCCCGUGAGAUGGACGAAGAAGGAAGAGGUGGAAGCAGAGGAGGAUCAGAAGGAAGGAAGGAAGGCGGAGCAAGGGACGGGAACACCAGACCGAGCAAGACCAAGCAAGACCAAGCAAGACCAACCAAGACCAAGCAAGACCGAGCAAGACCAAUGCAAAACCGAUCAUAAACAACGCUAUCUGGCGGCCAAAACUACAAUGAUGUCACCGAGAGAGAGAGCGAGUGACCGAGGCAUCAAGCUAGCAUCAAAGAAGCUCCAAGUGGAAGGAUUACUACUACUACUACUACUACUACUACUACUACUACUUCUACUACUACUUCUACUACUACUACUACUUCUACUACUACUACUAUUACUACUACUACUCCGUGCAGCCUCAGUGAGUAGAACAACGUCACUUUAUGUAAUGUAAUAUCUCUCUCUCUCUCUCUCUCUCUCUCUCUCUC